AGAGGUUGGAUUCUGGCUCAGAUUGAACGCUGGCGGAUGCUUUACAUGCAAGUCGAACGGCAGCACGGACUUCGGUCUGGUGGCGAGUGGCGAACGGGUGAGUAAUGUAUCGGAACGUGCCUAGUAGCGGGGAUAAUACGCAGCGUAGCCAUUACCGCAUAUACCCUUCGGGGGAGCGGGGACCUUUUCGGGCCUCGCACUAUUAGAGCGGCCGAUAUCGGAUUAGCUAGUUGGUGGGGUAACGGCUCACCAAGGCGACGAUCCGCUGGUUUGAGAGGACGACCAGCCACACUGGGACUGAGACACGGCCCAGACUCCUACGGGAGGCAGCAGUGGGAAUUUUGGACAAUGGGGAACCCUGAUCCAGCCAUCCUCUGGCGUGUGCGAUGAAGGCCUUCGGGUUGUAAAGCACUUUUUGGCAGGAAAGAAACGGCACGGAUAAUACCCCGCAAUCGGACGGUACCUGCAGGAAUAAGCACCGGCUUAACCACGCCAGCAGCCGCGGUACGUGUGUAGGGUGCAAGCGUUAAUCGGAAUUACUGGGCGAAGCGUGCGCAGGCGGUUCGGAAAGAAAGAGGAAACCCAGAGCUUAACUGGGAACUGCAUUUCUUUUAAUCACCGGGAGCCAGAGUGAAGUCAGAGGAGUGUGGAAUUCGCGUGUAGCAGUGAAAUGCGCAGAUAUGCGGAGGAACACCGAUGGCGGAAGGCAGCUCUCCCGGGAUAACACUGACGCUCGCGCACGAAAGCGUGGGGACAAACAGGAUUAGAUACCCUGGUAGUCCACGCCCUAAACGAUGUCAACUAGCUGUUGGGGCCUUCGGGCCUUGUAGCGCAGCUAACGCGUGAAGUUGACCGCCUGGGGAGUACGGUCGCAAGAUUAAAACUCAAAGGACUUGACGGGAAUCGCACAAGCGGUGGAUGAUGUGGAUUAAUUGAUGCAACGAAAACCUUACUCUACCCUUGACAUGUCUGGAAUCCCGAAGAGAUUUGGGAGUGCUCGUGGCGAGAACCGAACACAGGUGCUGCAUGGCUGUCGUCAGCUCGUGUCGCGAGUAUGGGGUUAAGUCCCGCAACGAGCGCAACCCUUGUCAUUAGUUGCUACGAAAGGGCACUCUAAUGAGACUGCCGGUGACAAAUCCGAGGAAGGGGAUGACGGCUGCGUCUUCAUGGCCCUUAUGGGUAGCUUCAGACACGUCAAGGCAAUACCGUAUAGGAGGUCGCCAACCCGCGAGGGGGAGCCAAUCCAGAAACUCGAUCGUAGUCCGGAUCGCAGUCUGCAACUCGACUGCGUGAAGUCGGAAUCGCUAGUAAUCGCGGAUCAGCAUGUCGCGGUGAACAUGUUCCUCGGGUCUUGGCAUGAUGACCGCCCGUCACACCAUGGGAGUGGGUUUUACCAGAAGUAGUUAGCCUAACCGUAAGGAGGGCGAUUACCACGUAGGAUUCAUGACUGGGGUGAAGUCGUAACAAGGUAGCCCC
This 1476-nucleotide ribosomal RNA is filed under the name uncultured Bordetella sp. Its description in RNAcentral is "partial 16S-23S ribosomal RNA intergenic spacer". It matches the Rfam family "Bacterial small subunit ribosomal RNA". Lineage: Bacteria; Pseudomonadati; Pseudomonadota; Betaproteobacteria; Burkholderiales; Alcaligenaceae. The record is from RNAcentral.